CAACAGGGAUUACCUCAGUAACGGCGAGUGAAGCGGUAACAGCUCAAAUUUGAAAUCUGCCGCAAGGCCGAGUUGUAAUUUGUAGAAGAUGCUUUGGGUAUGGCCCCGGUCUAAGUUCGUUGGAACACGACGUCAUAGAGGGUGAGAAUCCCGUAUGUGACUGGGUGCUUUUGCCUAUGUAAAGCUCUUUCGACGAGUCGAGUUGUUUGGGAAUGCAGCUCAAAAUGGGUGGUAUAUUUCAUCUAAAGCUAAAUAUUGGCCAGAGACCGAUAGCGCACAAGUAGAGUGAUCGAAAGAUGAAAAGCACUUUGGAAAGAGAGUUAAACAGUACGUGAAAUUGUUGAAAGGGAAGCGCUUGCAACCAGACUUGCACGCUGUCGAUCAUCCAGGCUUCUGUUUGGUGUACUCGAUUGCGUUCAGGCCAGCAUCGGUUUUGGUGGUGGGAUAAAGGCCUUGGGAAUGUAGCUUCUUUCGGGGAGUGUUAUAGCCCUCGGUGCAAUGCCGCCUACCGGGACCGAGGACCGCGCUUCGGCUAGGAUGCUGGCGUAAUGGUUGUAAGCGACCCGUCUUGAAACACGGACCAAGGAGUCUAACAUCUAUGCGAGUGUUUGGGUGUCAAACCCAUACGCGUAAUUAACGUGAACGGAGGUGAGAACCCUUAAGGGUGCAUCAUCGACCGAUCCUGAUGUCUUCGGAUGGAUUUGAGUAAGAGCAUAGCUGUUGGGACCCGAAAGAUGGUGAACUAUGCCUGAAUAGGGUGAAGCCAGAGGAAACUCUGGUGGAGGCUCGCAGCGGUUCUGACGUGCAAAUCGAUCGUCAAAUUUGGGUAUAGGGGCGAAAGACUAAUCGAACCAUCUA
This 858-nucleotide ribosomal RNA is filed under the name Pezoloma cf. websteri. RNAcentral describes it as "partial large subunit ribosomal RNA". It matches the Rfam family "Eukaryotic large subunit ribosomal RNA", at positions 66 to 946 of the family's 3401-position model. The record is from RNAcentral. Lineage: Eukaryota; Fungi; Ascomycota; Leotiomycetes; Helotiales; Discinellaceae.